CUGAGUCUUGAUCCACCAGAAGGCUUUCUGUACAUCAGCCAGUUUGCAUGAUGAAGAUUUGGGUCUCGGAAUUCUCCUGUAUGCUUAUGAUUCUUACCAUCAACUUGUUUCCUUGGUAACCCACUCCUGCUAUCUUGAUGAUGGCUUCCUGGGGUCAGGAGAGGUUCCUGAGAGCUGGACUUUUGGCUGGAGCCUUGACCCCACUUUUCCUGAUGAAUGACCUUUAGAGGUGGCUCCAGGUCUGAGGACUAGAGAGCAGAGUGGACACGAGGCUCACCAUGUAGAAAUGUCAUCUUGUAAAGACCUUCUACGACUUCCAGGACCUUGUAUGGGUACCCGUACCAUGGGCAUGCAGCCUGGGGAUGUGUGCUGCAUGUCAGAUAUUUUUCUGAACCACAACCAUGGUGUUUUCGGCUCCAGCACGCAUCACAGGAAGACUUCUGGCCAGGGCAACGUGACACAAACACAUUCAGAGCAGUCUGUUGCUGGCAAAGGGUGGAAUCACAUGCCUACUAUGUGCCAGGUGCUGCCAGAUCAGUAUCUGGCUUCCUUGAUCUACAGACUAAGGUCUCGUCUGAAAGGGGUGUUCUUCAGGAGAUAACGUCCAACACAUUGGAUGUGGAUCCAAGACUUCAAAGAAAACCUAUAAACUUAAUAAAGUUUCUCCUGAAACCUACAACAAAGAAAACAAUGACAAAGGAAUUGCCCACAAUUCUGUGACUCCAAGUGAAUACCACGGAAGAGAUGGCCGCACUGGGCUCUCCUACCAGUUUUUAGAAUUGUGAGACAAUCCAGCAGUAGAAAGAAAACUAAGAAAAUCAACUCUCCGGGCUGCUAUCUGCCUGUUUCAAGCCUGAGAUUUUGUAGAAAUCUAUUUUAUAGAAUCAGCAGAAGCAAGCCAAUAAUGUCUUUAUGCAAUCUACUUGAAAGCAAAAAUAACAAAGAUGCCAGUCAAUACUUUGCAAAUGAUGUUUAUACUAGCCUGAGACUCAUUGUUUGCCAGUGUUUAUUAAUACAACUAAAUAAGAAAUCCUCUCCUCUUAAAGGGAGCACAGAGCUGAUUUCAUGUUGAAGAAAUGCCCACAGUAGUCACAGUACAACUUUCAGAGGACUAAGUCAUCUUUUCUCACAUGCUGAGUCCUGACAUCUAAUGAUCAGCUAACACCAUUUCUGAUGUUUUAGCAUAGAAAGCUUUAUUAUCUUAACACUGGAUGCUAAUAAGACAUUGUUAAUUUCUAAAACAAACAAACAAACAUGGACCUAAAACUUGACUUCCUUAAGAAAUAAAAACACUUUCCUUGAACGCCACAGACUGUACAGAGUGCAAAGUGCUAGCAAAUGAUAAGCAUUCCCUUAUAAAUAUCAAGAUCAAUAUUGAAGUAGCUCAGGAUUGUACUUGACAGGAUUUGAGCUUUAUUGGUAGGAAUCUUAAGGUCUCCCACAGUGGUUUUUGGUGUUGAUAAAGUUGGCAUUUAUUUACGAUUUGAGUUCUUGCCUGGGGGCUGCAGUCAGAAGCAGCAGGAUUUUGUUUAAAGCCAAAGACUUCCUUCAUCCUCAGAAAGCAAGCAAGGAGCUGUGUUUCCUCUCCUCAUUUGUCCUGCAACUGUGAAUUUGUCUCUGGAGCUCUGUUCUGUUGACUUUAGAGAAGCUAUGCAUACACUUGGU
Molecule: long non-coding RNA, 1665 nt
Organism: Rhinopithecus bieti (black snub-nosed monkey)
Lineage: Eukaryota; Metazoa; Chordata; Mammalia; Primates; Cercopithecidae
Source: Ensembl